UACGUAGGGGGCAAGCGUUAUCCGGAUUUACUGGGUGUAAAGGGAGCGUAGGCGGUUCAGCAAGUCAGUAGUGAAAGCCCGGGGCUCAACUCCGGGACUGCUUUUGAAACUGUUGAACUAGAUUGCAGGAGAGGUAAGUGGAAUUCCUAGUGUAGCGGUGAAAUGCGUAGAUAUUAGGAGGAACACCAGUGGCGAAGGCGGCUUACUGGACUGUAAAUGACGCUGAGGCUCGAAAGCGUGGGGAGCAAACAGG
This 253-nucleotide ribosomal RNA is filed under the name uncultured bacterium. Its description in RNAcentral is "partial 16S ribosomal RNA". It matches the Rfam family "Bacterial small subunit ribosomal RNA", at positions 524 to 776 of the family's 1533-position model. The record is from RNAcentral.